ACGCUGGCGGCAGGCCUAACACAUGCAAGUCGAGCGGUAGAGAGAAGCUUGCUUCUCUUGAGAGCGGCGGACGGGUGAGUAAUGCCUAGGAAUCUGCCUGGUAGUGGGGGAUAACGUCCGGAAACGGGCGCUAAUACCGCAUACGUCCUACGGGAGAAAGCAGGGGACCUUCGGGCCUUGCGCUAUCAGAUGAGCCUAGGUCGGAUUAGCUAGUUGGUGGGGUAAUGGCUCACCAAGGCGACGAUCCGUAACUGGUCUGAGAGGAUGAUCAGUCACACUGGAACUGAGACACGGUCCAGACUCCUACGGGAGGCAGCAGUGGGGAAUAUUGGACAAUGGGCGAAAGCCUGAUCCAGCCAUGCCGCGUGUGUGAAGAAGGUCUUCGGAUUGUAAAGCACUUUAAGUUGGGAGGAAGGGCAGUUACCUAAUACGUGAUUGUUUUGACGUUACCGACAGAAUAAGCACCGGCUAACUCUGUGCCAGCAGCCGCGGUAAUACAGAGGGUGCAAGCGUUAAUCGGAAUUACUGGGCGUAAAGCGCGCGUAGGUGGUUCGUUAAGUUGGAUGUGAAAUCCCCGGGCUCAACCUGGGAACUGCAUUCAAAACUGACGAGCUAGAGUAUGGUAGAGGGUGGUGGAAUUUCCUGUGUAGCGGUGAAAUGCGUAGAUAUAGGAAGGAACACCAGUGGCGAAGGCGACCACCUGGACUGAUACUGACACCGAGGUGCGAAAGCGUGGGGAGCAAAC
RNAcentral lists this ribosomal RNA (745 nucleotides) under uncultured bacterium. RNAcentral describes it as "bacterial SSU rRNA". It matches the Rfam family "Bacterial small subunit ribosomal RNA", at positions 33 to 773 of the family's 1533-position model. The record is from RNAcentral.